CACGUAGGAGGCGAACGUUAUCCGGAUUUAUUGGGCGUAAAGCGCGUGUAGGUGGUUCUGUAAGUAGGGCGUGAAAGCUCCUGGCUCAACCGGGAGAGGCCGUUCUAUACUGCAGAGCUAGAGGAUGGUAGAGGGAGGUGGAAUUCCAGGUGUAGCGGUGGAAUGCGCAGAUAUCUGGAGGAACACCAGUGGCGAAGGCGGCCUCCUGGACCAUUCCUGACACUGAGACGCGAAAGCUAGGGUAGCAAACGGGAUUAGAUACCCCUGUAGU
This 271-nucleotide ribosomal RNA is filed under the name uncultured prokaryote. RNAcentral's name for it is "partial 16S ribosomal RNA". It matches the Rfam family "Bacterial small subunit ribosomal RNA", at positions 524 to 794 of the family's 1533-position model. The record is from RNAcentral.